Molecule: ribosomal RNA, 253 nt
Filed under: uncultured bacterium
Lineage: Bacteria
Description: partial 16S ribosomal RNA
Rfam family: Bacterial small subunit ribosomal RNA
Source: RNAcentral
UACGGAGGGUGCAAGCGUUAUCCGGAUUCACUGGGUUUAAAGGGUGCGUAGGUGGGCAGGUAAGUCAGCGGUGAAAUCUCCGGGCUUAACCCGGAAACUGCCAUUGAUACUAUCUGUCUUGAAUACCGUGGAGGUGAGCGGAAUAUGUCAUGUAGCGGUGAAAUGCUUAGAUAUGACAUAGAACACCAAUUGCGAAGGCAGCUCACUACACGAAUAUUGACACUGAGGCACGAAAGCGUGGGGAGCAAACAGG